CACCUCUAGCAUUACCAGUAUUAGAGGCACCGCCUGCCCGGUGACAUACGUUUAACGGCCGCGGUACCCUGACCGUGCAAAGGUAGCAUAAUCACUUGUUCCUUAAAUGGGGACUUGUAUGAAUGGCUUCACGAGGGUUCGACUGUCUCUUACUUUUAACCAGUGAAAUUGACCUGCCCGUGAAGAGGCGGGCAUAACACAACAAGACGAGAAGACCCUAUGGAGCUUCAAUUUACCAGUGCAAAUAACAUACAACAAGCCCACAGGCCCUAAAUCACCAAACCUGCACUGAAGAUUUCGGUUGGGGCGACCUCGGAGCACAACCCAACCUCCGAGAAACACAUGUUAAGACUUCACAAGUCAAAACGAACUUCCACACACAAUUGAUCCAACAACUUGACCAACGGAACAAGUUACCCUAGGGAUAACAGCGCAAUCCUGUUCUAGAGUCCAUAUCAACAACAGGGUUUACGACCUCGAUGUUGGAUCAGGACAUCCUAAUGGUGCAGCCGCUAUUAAAGGUUCGUUUGUUCAACGAUUAAAGUCCU
RNAcentral lists this ribosomal RNA (548 nucleotides) under Pongo pygmaeus (Bornean orangutan). RNAcentral's name for it is "partial 16S ribosomal RNA". It matches the Rfam family "Bacterial large subunit ribosomal RNA", at positions 1816 to 2597 of the family's 2925-position model. The record is from RNAcentral. Lineage: Eukaryota; Metazoa; Chordata; Mammalia; Primates; Hominidae.